Molecule: long non-coding RNA, 1217 nt
Filed under: Lactuca sativa (garden lettuce)
Lineage: Eukaryota; Viridiplantae; Streptophyta; Magnoliopsida; Asterales; Asteraceae
Description: long non-coding RNA (LSAT_LNC001728)
Source: RNAcentral
UAAAUAUAGAGAAAAAUAAAGUUGCAUUGUAUUGCAAUGUAAUACAAUAAUAUUAUAAUAUAUAUCAUGGUGUUACAUAAUAUAUUAUGCAGGAAACUAAGAAACAUUCAUUGGGCAUGACAAAAUAAUGAUAAACUAAAGACAAUGCACCAUCCAAACUGGACUUUUGUGUAUGUUUUUAUGUCGGUGGUCUUCACGAUGUUAGACAUGCAAAUGUGCUCAUUAUGUUCUUUUUGAGUAGAAUAAAAAUUAUAUAUUAAAUAAUUGUUCAAUUACGAGGUCAUUAGAGAUUGAACAAUCUUACUACUUUGCCUUAUAGUUCAUAUGACAUGUAUCUUCUCAAGAUAUUUGGUUUGCAACUCAUUUACAAGGCAUAUGUUGCAAUGAUAAAUUAUUUUAUGUCUUAUGUUCGUGAUUUUAGUGUCAAUAAUCAUAUGGUGUAACCAUUUGUUCUUCCAGAAUGACUACAAAGCUUCCAACAGUUUCCAAGCAAAUUUUGGUUAACUUUUCAUUCACUUUCCACAUUUUCCCUGAACAAUCUGCAAUUAGUCAAAUAAAAACCACUUUUACAAUGCUUAUAAAUGAAUUGAAAAUGAUAAGAAAGCUGCAAUUAGUCAAUUAAAACCCAACUUUUAAAUUCUUAUAAAUGAAUUGAAAAUGAUAGGAAAUACUAGAAAAUACCAUACGUUUACAACCCUUGUAAAGUGUUAAAUACUAAAUAUCACAUAAACUAAAUAUGCAUAAACUAGCUUCUAAAAAUGGAGUAAAGAGGGGUAGUAAUGGAAUCAGUAGCAUGAUUAUGCUUAAAAGCUAAAACUUAGAAGUUUGAAGUAGAACUUACAUUUACUGAUUUAAAGAAGCAGUGAUGAGUAGAAGACUGGGAAAGUGUAUGCCCAGUUGCUUUACUUGCUUUUAGUCUAUACCAAGAAUCAAUAUUUAUAGUUCGAUCUGCAGUUCGAAUGAGCAAAUCGAAUGUGAAAUCAGAAAUCGCAAAUUAGGAAGGAUCGAUAGGAGUACUUAGUGAACUUUGAGUACCUUGCAAUCCCGCAACAGAAGCUAGAAGAUAGAUCGAUGUCGUAAAUCGUAAUCGGGCAAGCAGAAGCAAAUAUAAAUGAUCGAUUGAGGCGUAUAGGAGAGACGAGAUGUGGGAACGGCGUGUGAAACAGUGAAAGGUUGAGGAUUGUUGGGUGAAAAUUUGAAAUGAACGUGACCCUAGC